CCUACGGGAGGCAGCAGUGGGGAAUAUUGCACAAUGGGGGAAACCCUGAUGCAGCAACGCCGCGUGAGUGAAGAAGUCAUUCGUGAUGUAAAGCUCUAUCAGCAGGGAAGAAAAUGACGGUACCUGAGUAAGAAGCCCCGGCUAACUACGUGCCAGCAGCCGCGGUAAUACGUAGGGGGCAAGCGUUAUCCGGAAUUACUGGGUGUAAAGGGAGCGUAGACGGCUGUGCAAGUCUGGAGUGAAAGGCGGGGGCCCAACCCCCGGACUGCUCUGGAAACUGUGCAGCUGGAGUGCAGGAGAGGUAA
This 305-nucleotide ribosomal RNA is filed under the name uncultured bacterium. Its description in RNAcentral is "bacterial SSU rRNA". It matches the Rfam family "Bacterial small subunit ribosomal RNA", at positions 338 to 660 of the family's 1533-position model. The record is from RNAcentral.